This 253-nucleotide ribosomal RNA is filed under the name uncultured bacterium. RNAcentral describes it as "partial 16S ribosomal RNA". It matches the Rfam family "Bacterial small subunit ribosomal RNA", at positions 524 to 776 of the family's 1533-position model. The record is from RNAcentral.
UACGUAGGCAGCGAGCGUUGUUCGGAGUUACUGGGCGUAAAGAGCGCGCAGGCGGCUGGCCAAGUCCGAUGUGAAAUCUCCCGGCUUAACUGGGAAACUGCAUCGGAAACUGACCGGCUUGAAGGUGGGAGAGGGUAGUGGAAUUCCCGGUGUAGUGGUGAGAUGCGUAGAUAUUGGGAAGAACACCAGUGGCGAAAGCGGACUUCUGGGUAGUUACUGACGCUGAGGUACGAAAGCGUGGGGAGCAAACGGG